Molecule: ribosomal RNA, 492 nt
Filed under: uncultured bacterium
Lineage: Bacteria
Description: partial 16S ribosomal RNA
Rfam family: Bacterial small subunit ribosomal RNA
Source: RNAcentral
AUUGAACGCUGGCGGCAGGCCUAACACAUGCAAGUCGAGCGGCAGCACGGUGAUAGCUUCCGGUUUCGGGUGCCGAGGGGCGGGUGAUUCCUAGGUACAUCGCAGUUUAUUGGUGAUUACGUGCGGACACGGGGGAACAUACGGUAUUAGCGCUGACGGCGAACGGGGGGGAGCAUGGGAUCUUCGGCCCUUGCGUGAUCCAAGGUGGCUAGGUCGGAUUAGCUAGUUGGCGGGGUAAAGGCCCACCAAGGCGACGAUCCGUAGCUGGCCUGAGAGGAUGAUCAGCCACACUGGAACUGAGACACGGUCCAGACUCCUACGGGAGGCAGCAGUGGGGAAUAUUGGACAAUGGGCGAAAGCCUGAUCCAGCCAUGCCGCGUGUGUGAAGAAGGUCUUCGGAUUGUAAAGCACUUUUGUUGGGGAAGAAGAGCAGUAAGUUAAUACCUUGCUGUUUUGACGGUACCAACAGAAUAAGCACCGGCUAACUUCGUG